GAUCUGGCUCAGGAUGAACGCUAGCGACAGGCUUAACACAUGCAAGUCGAGGGGCAGCACGGUGUAGCGAUACACUGGUGGCGACCGGCGCACGGGUGAGUAACACGUGUGCAACCAACCCCGUACCGGGAGAUAACCCGCGGAAACGUGGACUAACAUCCCAUGACACUCUAGAGCCGCAUGGCUCUAGAUUUAAAAUUCCGGUGGUACGGGACGGGCACGCGCGACAUUAGGUAGUUGGCGGGGUAAGGG
This 252-nucleotide ribosomal RNA is filed under the name uncultured bacterium. RNAcentral describes it as "partial 16S ribosomal RNA". It matches the Rfam family "Bacterial small subunit ribosomal RNA", at positions 15 to 263 of the family's 1533-position model. The record is from RNAcentral.